This 499-nucleotide ribosomal RNA is filed under the name uncultured bacterium. RNAcentral's name for it is "partial 16S ribosomal RNA". It matches the Rfam family "Bacterial small subunit ribosomal RNA", at positions 29 to 523 of the family's 1533-position model. The record is from RNAcentral.
AUUGAACGCUGGCGGAAUGCUUUACACAUGCAAGUCGAGCGGCAGCGCGGGGCAACCUGGCGGCGAGCGGCGAACGGGUGAGUAAUGCAUCGGAACGUGUCCAUGUCGUGGGGGAUAGCCCGGCGAAAGCCGGAUUAAUACCGCAUACGCCCGAGAGGGGAAAGUGGGGGCCCGCAAGGCCUCUCGCGAUUGGGUCGGCCGAUGUCCGAUUAGCUAGUUGGCGGGGUAAAGGCCCACCAAGGCGAUGAUCGGUAGCUGGUCUGAGAGGAUGAUCAGCCACACUGGGACUGAGACACGGCCCAGACUCCUACGGGAGGCAGCAGUGGGGAAUUUUGGACAAUGGGGGCAACCCUGAUCCAGCCAUUCCGCGUGAGUGAAGAAGGCCUUCGGGUUGUAAAGCUCUUUUGUCCGGAACGAAACGGAUGACGUGAAUAUCGUCGUCUACUGACGGUACCGGAAGAAUAAGCACCGGCUAACUACGUGCCAGCAGCCGCGGUAA